Transfer RNA from Moniliophthora roreri MCA 2997, 91 nucleotides. It matches the Rfam family "tRNA". Rfam says of the family: Transfer RNA (tRNA) molecules are approximately 80 nucleotides in length. Their secondary structure includes four short double-helical elements and three loops (D, anti-codon, and T loops). NCBI's taxonomy places the organism in Eukaryota, Fungi, Basidiomycota, Agaricomycetes, Agaricales, Marasmiaceae. The record is from Rfam.
GGCGCUAUAGCCAAGUGGUUACGGCGACAGAUUCGAAUUAUUGCUUAUCUGUUCCUCUUUGAGGGCGCAGGUUCAAAUCCUGCUGGCGUCG